Molecule: non-coding RNA, 435 nt
Organism: Schizosaccharomyces pombe (fission yeast)
Lineage: Eukaryota; Fungi; Ascomycota; Schizosaccharomycetes; Schizosaccharomycetales; Schizosaccharomycetaceae
Source: the annotation of a GenBank genome assembly
GUAGUCAUUUGCAUUUCCGCUGGAAACGUAUAGCCAUUUCCAUGAGUGGAAUACGGCUUACUUUUAUGAUGUGCAAACCGAUCUAGGCGAACUUCUAAAGUGCGGCCCAUGAAAUCAGUGUUAUGCAACAUUUGAAUGGCAUGCAUGGCUUCUUUCAUCGAACUCAUGACAACAAUCCCAAUGCCACGGGAUCGGCCUUCUUGGUUCAUUUGGAUAUCAGCUCGGAUAACAGAACCAGCUUGUCUAAACAAAUCCUUUAAAUCUUGCCAGCGAACGUUAUACGGUAACUAUACUCGUUAGUACCAUUUCUUAUUUGCAAUUCCACAAUUCAUUAAAAUACCAAAGUUCGAGGAAAAGAAUAUAGAGGAUUAGAAAUUGAACUUACGUUACCAACAAACAAUUGCCUGUCUGGCUCAGAAUCUUUGCCAUUCGACG